Long non-coding RNA from Dicentrarchus labrax (European seabass), 284 nucleotides. RefSeq lists it as uncharacterized. The record is from RefSeq and is a predicted model, not a curated record. Lineage: Eukaryota; Metazoa; Chordata; Actinopteri; Moronidae. The transcript has 4 exons.
GCUCAUACGUUAUAUGAAACUUCCCCAGGAGCACUGUUAAAGUAUUUAGGAGGAGGCACUGACUCAGCCCAGGGGCAAUCCACCUCCUCAGGAGCAGCCAAGGCUGAUGAAUCAGGUCCAUCUCUAUCCUCUGCUCCAUCCACUGUGCCCACUGUCCUCUCUGCAACCUCAGCUGUACCUGGUCCAUCUCUAUCCUCUGCUCCAUCCACUGUGCCCACUGUCCUCUCUGCAACCUCAGCUGUACCUGGUCCUUCAUCUUUGGUCAUGGAGAUUGAUGUGUCUUC